RNAcentral lists this transfer RNA (77 nucleotides) under Deltaproteobacteria bacterium CG2_30_66_27. RNAcentral describes it as "tRNA-Pro". It matches the Rfam family "tRNA". Rfam says of the family: Transfer RNA (tRNA) molecules are approximately 80 nucleotides in length. Their secondary structure includes four short double-helical elements and three loops (D, anti-codon, and T loops). Further hydrogen bonds mediate the characteristic L-shaped molecular structure. tRNAs have two regions of fundamental functional importance: the anti-codon, which is responsible for specific mRNA codon recognition, and the 3' end, to which the tRNAs corresponding amino acid is attached (by aminoacyl-tRNA synthetases). tRNAs cope with the degeneracy of the genetic code in two manners: having more than one tRNA (with a specific anti-codon) for a particular amino acid; and 'wobble' base-pairing, i.e. permitting non-standard base-pairing at the 3rd anti-codon position. The record is from RNAcentral. RNAcentral also lists the same sequence under 4 other names. Lineage: Bacteria; Deltaproteobacteria.
CGGGACGUAGCGCAGCCUGGUAGCGCAUCUGCUUUGGGAGCAGAGGGUCGCUGGUUCGAAUCCAGUCGUCCCGACCA